AUUGAACGCUGGCGGAAUGCUUUACACAUGCAAGUCGAGCGGCAGCGCGGCCUUCGGGCUGGCGGCGAGCGGCGAACGGGUGAGUAAUGCAUCGGAACAUGCCCAGUCGUGGGGGAUAACACUUCGAAAGAAGUGCUAAUACCGCAUACGUCCUGAGGGGGAAAGCGGGGGAUCGCAAGACCUCGCGCGAUUGGAGUGGCCGAUGUCAGAUUAGCUAGUUGGUGGGGUAAAGGCCUACCAAGGCGACGAUCUGUAGCUGGUCUGAGAGGAUGAUCAGCCACACUGGGACUGAGACACGGCCCAGACUCCUACGGGAGGCAGCAGUGGGGAAUUUUGGACAAUGGGGGCAACCCUGAUCCAGCCAUUCCGCGUGAGUGAAGAAGGCCUUCGGGUUGUAAAGCUCUUUCGGCGGGGACGAAACGGUGGGCUCUAACAUAGUCCGCUAAUGACGGUACCUGAAGAAGAAGCACCGGCUAACUACGUG
Molecule: ribosomal RNA, 484 nt
Filed under: uncultured bacterium
Lineage: Bacteria
Description: partial 16S ribosomal RNA
Rfam family: Bacterial small subunit ribosomal RNA
Source: RNAcentral